UACUCUUGCUUCUCUUCAGAUCAAAUAAAUCUUUCACCUUUUACUAAAGAUUUCCAUGAAGAGCAACCCAGGAGCAAGAUGAUAUAGAUACCUUGCUGGAGGAUGAGAUU
This is a small nuclear RNA of Dipodomys ordii (Ord's kangaroo rat), 110 nucleotides long. Its record names the gene U5. It matches the Rfam family "U5 spliceosomal RNA". From Rfam's summary of the family: U5 RNA is a component of both types of known spliceosome. The precise function of this molecule is unknown, though it is known that the 5' loop is required for splice site selection and p220 binding, and that both the 3' stem-loop and the Sm site are important for Sm protein binding and cap methylation. Lineage: Eukaryota; Metazoa; Chordata; Mammalia; Rodentia; Heteromyidae. The record is from Ensembl.